AUUGAACGCUGGCGGCAGGCCUAACACAUGCAAGUCGAACGGUAGCAGGAAGCGGCUUGCUGCUUCGCUGAAGAGUGGCAGGCGUGUGUGUCAUGUCUGGGACGCUGCCUGAUGAGGGGGAUAACUACUGGAAACGGUAGCUAAUACCGCAUGAUGUCGCAAGACGCAAGAGUCAGAACUUCGAGACUCUUGCGCUCGGACGUGCCCAGGUGGGAUUAGCUUGUUGGUAGGGUAACGGCUUACCAAGGCAACGAUCCCUAGCUGGUCUGAGAGGAUGACCGGCCACACUGGAACUGAGACACGGUCCAGACUCCUACGGGAGGCAGCAGUGGGGAAUAUUGCACAAUGGGCGCAAGCCUGAUGCAGCCACGCCGCGUGUAUGAAGAAGGUCUUCGGGUUGUAAAGCACUGUCAGCGGGGAGGAAGAGAGUAAAGUGAAUAUCUUCGCUUAUUGACGGUACCCGCAGAAGAAGCCACGGCUAACUACGUG
This 489-nucleotide ribosomal RNA is filed under the name uncultured bacterium. RNAcentral's name for it is "partial 16S ribosomal RNA". It matches the Rfam family "Bacterial small subunit ribosomal RNA", at positions 30 to 507 of the family's 1533-position model. The record is from RNAcentral.